UACGGAGGAUCCAAGCGUUAUCCGGAAUCAUUGGGUUUAAAGGGUCCGUAGGCGGGCCUGUAAGUCAGUGGUGAAAUCCGGCGGCUUAACCGUCGAACUGCCAUUGAUACUGCAGGCCUUGAAUUAUUGGGAAGUAACUAGAAUAUAUAGUGUAGCGGUGAAAUGCUUAGAUAUUACAUGGAAUACCGAUUGCGAAGGCAGGUUACUAUCAAUACAUUGACGCUGAUGGACGAAAGCGUGGGGAGCGAACAGG
RNAcentral lists this ribosomal RNA (253 nucleotides) under uncultured bacterium. Its description in RNAcentral is "partial 16S ribosomal RNA". It matches the Rfam family "Bacterial small subunit ribosomal RNA", at positions 524 to 776 of the family's 1533-position model. The record is from RNAcentral.